RNAcentral lists this ribosomal RNA (1100 nucleotides) under uncultured bacterium. RNAcentral's name for it is "bacterial SSU rRNA". It matches the Rfam family "Bacterial small subunit ribosomal RNA", at positions 9 to 1104 of the family's 1533-position model. The record is from RNAcentral.
GAGUUUGAUCCUGGCUCAGGACGAACGCUGGCGGCGCGGAUUAGGCAUGCAAGUCGCGCGAUCGGAGAGCUUCGGCUCUUACGGAGCGGCGAACGGGUGAGUAACACGUGAACAAUCUGUCCCUACAUUCCGGAUAGCUGCUCGAAAGGGCUGGUAAUACGGGCGAGGAUCUUUAUUGGGAAUUCGGUGAAGAGAAAGGGUGCAAGCAUUUAUGUUUGUGUCGUGCAUGGAGGAGUUCGCGGCCUAUCAGUUAGUUGGUGGGGUAAUGGCCUACCAAGACGACGACGGGUAGCUGGUCUGAGAGGAUGGUCAGCCACAUUGGAACUGAGACACUGUCCAGACUCCUACGGGAGGCUGCAGUCGAGAAUCUUGGGCAAUGCACGAAAGUGUGACCCAGCGACGCCGCGUGGAGGAUGAAGGCCCUUGGGUCGUAAACUCCUUUUAUGGAAGAAGAACGCCUCGUAAGAGGUUUGACGGUACUCCAUGAAUAAGCCACGGCUAACUACGUGCCAGCAGCCGCGGUAAUACGUAGGUGGCAAGCGUUGUCCGGAUUUACUGGGCGUAAAGCGUAUGCAGGCGGAAGAGUAAGUAGGAAGUGAAAGGUCGGAGCUCAACUCCAACACUGCUCCCUAUACUGCUUUUCUUGAGUGCCGGAGAGGAAGAGGGAACUCCACGUGUAGCGGUGAAAUGCGUUGAGAUGUGGAGGAACACCAAUGGCGAAAGCACUCUUCUGGACGGAAACUGACGCUGAGAUACGAAAGCCAAGGGAGCGAACAGGAUUAGAUACCCUGGUAGUCUUGGCCAUAAACGAUGUUCACUAGGUGUUGGGGCUUAGCCUCGGUGCCGCAGCUAACGCAUUAAGUGAACCGCCUGGGGACUACGGCCGCAAGGUUGAAACUCAAAGGAAUUGGCGGGGGCCCGCACAAGCGGUGGAGCAUAUGGCUUAAUUCGAUGCAACGCGAAGAACCUUACCAGGGCUUGACAUGCAUCUGCACGGUGGUGAAAGCCACUCGCUUUCGAAGGUGAUGCACAGGUGGUGCAUGGCUGUCGUCAGCUCGUGUUGUGAAAUGUUGGGUUAAGUCCCGCAACGAGCGCAACCC